CCUACGGGAGGCAGCAGUAGGGAAUCUUUCACAAUGGGCGAAAGUCUGAUGCAGCAACGUCGCGUGCAGGAUGAAGGCCCUCGGGGUGUAAACUGUUUUUUUAAGGGGGAAAUAUGGUGCUAACUGAUGAAUAUGGUUUGGCCAACUACGUGACAGAAGCCGCGGCCAUACGUAGGAUCCGAGCAUAAUCCGGAGUGACUGGGUGUAAAGAGUGGCGUAGGGGGGAUAAUAAGUAGCUAGGGAAAUCUGGUGGCUUAAACAGUCAGACUAUUAGCGAAACUGUUAGGCUCGAGACCGUUAGAGGUGACUGGAAUUCCUGGUGUAGGAGUGAAAUCCGUAGAUAUUAGAAGGAACACCAAUAGCGAAGGCAGGUUACUGGACCGGUUCUGACACUAAGGCACGAAAGCGUAGGGAGCAAACGGGAUUAGAUACCCCGGUAGUC
Molecule: ribosomal RNA, 442 nt
Filed under: uncultured bacterium
Lineage: Bacteria
Description: partial 16S ribosomal RNA
Rfam family: Bacterial small subunit ribosomal RNA
Source: RNAcentral